Molecule: small RNA, 63 nt
Filed under: Halpernia humi
Lineage: Bacteria; Pseudomonadati; Bacteroidota; Flavobacteriia; Flavobacteriales; Weeksellaceae
Description: Chryseobacterium humi Flavo-1 RNA
Rfam family: Flavo-1 RNA
Source: RNAcentral
UUGCGGCCGCGAUAGGAGCGGCAUCCCCGCGUCGGCAGGAUAUAGCGGAUAGCGCGAAUGGUC